Molecule: long non-coding RNA, 818 nt
Organism: Notolabrus celidotus (New Zealand spotty)
Lineage: Eukaryota; Metazoa; Chordata; Actinopteri; Labriformes; Labridae
Exons: 3
Source: RefSeq, a predicted model, not a curated record
GAGUGAUGAUCCACAAACUUGAGCUAGAGAGCACCAGACUGAUCCGUCGAUUCCUGGGUUGUAUUGUCCCAGCGAGGUCAAUCAUGGAUUCACCACUGGAAGAGGUGAAUUAUGGGUGGGAAAACCAGCUGGACGAUGAAGACCUCUUCAUAGGGGCAGAGACCAAAGUGUCCCUCCACAACCAGGAAGAGAAUCUUUGAGACAGUGAAAGCUUUCUAUGAAGCAGCCAUCAGGAAAAUGCUGAAAGCAUUUCUCAUAGAGUCGCAAAUGCUGAAGGACCUGAGAGUGCUUGACCCAGCCUCUCGACUUGACGUUUCUCCAGAGACAGUGACAAGACUAGGUGCCAUGUUUCCACAACUGGGCUUACAGACAGACAAGCUGAGAGAAGAGUUGGUGGAUUAUCAGUUCACAGAGAGCAAAGAUCCACCACAGGAAGAGAGAGUUGACAGAUUCUGGGGCCUUGUAGGGAAAGAGCAAAGGUUCAGGAAUCUGGCAGCACUGAUGAAGGCAAUGCUCUGCAUCCCUCACAGCAAUGCAAACUCAGAGAGAUCAUUUAGCAUGGUGAAAAAGAUUUGCACAGAAAAUAGAAUGAGCAUGGAUAACACCACUCUUUGUGCACGUCCUUCUUGCAAGAUCAACCACACCAGCCCUGGUCACAAGUAUGCUCCCUCUAAAAAAGUGCUAAGCACUGCAAAGCCUGCUAACUACAUCUACAACAGAUCCUUGGGUGACAAGGGGAACCAAGAGUAAAGAUAUGGACACAGACUUGUAUUCUCUCUUUGUCUCUGGUUUUGGAAGAUUUGGGAUUUUUUUAAUGU